This 78-nucleotide transfer RNA is filed under the name Bradyrhizobium sp. BR13661. RNAcentral's name for it is "tRNA-Met". It matches the Rfam family "tRNA". Rfam says of the family: Transfer RNA (tRNA) molecules are approximately 80 nucleotides in length. Their secondary structure includes four short double-helical elements and three loops (D, anti-codon, and T loops). The record is from RNAcentral. Lineage: Bacteria; Pseudomonadati; Pseudomonadota; Alphaproteobacteria; Hyphomicrobiales; Nitrobacteraceae.
UGCGGACGAGUGGAACGGACAACCAUUCCAGUCUCAUACACUGGCGAUAGCGGGUUCGACUCCCGCGUUCCGCAACCA